Non-coding RNA from Elaeis guineensis (African oil palm), 1656 nucleotides. The record is from RefSeq and is a predicted model, not a curated record. NCBI's taxonomy places the organism in Eukaryota, Viridiplantae, Streptophyta, Magnoliopsida, Arecales, Arecaceae.
ACGCCCGGUUUCUCGUCCGCAACCCUCCCCUUCACUUCUCUCCCUCCUUCCUCGCCGCUCUCCAAACUCUAGACCUCCCGAAGCCCCAAAUUUCUGUAUGAUAUCGCCCUCGAAUCCUCUUGGAUUCGCGUAUCUUCCGCUCUCCGAUCUCUACCGGAGGUUCUCUGCCCCCGCUUCCGCUUUUGGGAGCCGUUGAUCGUUGGAGAUAGCGAUCGGGGUCUGCGCUGUUUACAUCCUCGGUGUCGACGACGCCAUCAGCCAGGUGCGCGACGAGUUCGUGAAUUUCGGGUUCGGAGAGAAUGUGCUGAACGAACUCCAAUUGAGAACUUUUCGAGCUCACAAGUAGCGGCAUGGAAUUACUCCAAUAAAAUUGGUACACAUCAACAGUUUGCUAUCGAGCUCAGAAGUCAGAACAAGAGUCAUGCAAGGAAGUAUGGGCCUGGUGGGUGGUCACCUUCUGGUAAUUUAAACUGAGUGAGGUUUCCUGUUUCCUUUUAUUUUCUUACUCCAAACCAUGGGAUCGAAUGGCGAGGGUAUUGGUCCUUUCUUCUCCCACAUCUCUGCUCCCAUCUCUACCGGGACCCACCAAAGCCCGCCACCACCAACUCCUCCUCCGUGACUACUCCGGAGGCCUCCACUAUGACCACCGCCGCCCUAAUUCGCGACCUUCUCCGGCCAUCAAGAAGAGGAAGCCCUUCUGAUUGACCCAAAUCCCUCCCCUCUACAUGCCCAGAUUCAUUGUCGCCAUGUCAGAACUGGGUAAUGGGUAUGGUAGAUGGGUGUGGUUCAGGAGAUAAAUAUGAACUAAAGAUUAGAAAGAUCUGACAGUUCUAAUUCAGGUCUUUUUUAUGUUGAAGUACCUGAAAGAGCCCUUUGUUGGAGACUAUCAUAUGCUUGCUCUUGAAGGUGGAAAACCUUCUAGCGGGCAAUGAGGAUAAUGAGUUGAUACUCCUCUAUACGCAUGUCUAGGAGAUUUAUAAGCAGCAACAGAUUUUGGAGCUCAGGUGCUAUUGAAAGGCCAAAGCUGUGGCAUUGCUCUUUUGCUUGAUUUAAUUUCCUUUUCUUUCAGGUUCCAUGAGCUUUAAUAUUGCUGUUCUGGCCCUUUCAAUGUGACAGUCAGCCUUGAUUCAGCCUGCACAGCAGUUUAAGCACUGGUCUUAAAGCACUAAUCUAAAUCUCUGUCAGAGGAACUAGUUGCUUGCUUAGGUCCAGAAUUUACUCACCUGCCAAAACUCAGCUCAGAUUUAGUUGCCAUGAUUUCACUAGGCCUCUUUGGGCUGUACGCUUGAAAUUGUUACUUAAACUGGUGAGUUUGAUAUAAAAAACAUAGAUUCAUGUACUGACUAUCCAACCUCUGAUGAUUCUUUUCUAGGUUAGGCCUUUCCCACUGGUAAUGCGCCUGAACUGCGUAAAUUCAAGCAACAUUGUCGGAGGUUUCUUAAACAAUUUCAUGGCUUGUAAGUGAGAUAUCAGGUUUCAUUUCCAAUUCUAUCUCUAAAAUGAUGGGAUUAUCCCUUGUCACAUGGCUGAGCAUGGACCACUGAACCAAUGUUGCUUGUUUCAUUAGCCAGGCUUCUCUUGUAAGAGGUCUCUAGUCUCACUAGCCAGAAUUCUGGUGUAAAGAAUCUGCAAUCAAAAUCAUGCAAUUGUUUGUUU